GGCAGAUUAUUGCAAAAAGGGCACGGGGCAGAGGGACUAUGUUGUGAGCCUGCGAAAGAAGUUUGUGUGGGGACUGUGGGCAGUGAAUGCGUUGGGAACAAUAUGGAAAACUGGGAGCUGCCUUGGAAUCUACAGGGCCGGGUAAGAGAAUGUCCGAAAGAAAAAUGAGCAGGUGCGGGAUGUGCGCAGAGUCGGAGAAGAGUCCAGGGCGCCCGGAGUGGCUCCAGGAACGACGGAAACCCCUCAAGGCUUUUGGGGGCGGACCCACUCGAGCCAUCCACACUUUCCCCAGCCUCCUCCAAAACAGCACACUUUCCGGCUGAAGAAAAGAAGAAUGGUAUUCAUGCAGUUCCCAUUUUACAGAUGAAAACAAGAGGACUUUUUCUGUGAAGUCAAGAAAGUGGUUACAAUGGUACUUUCAGCCUGUCCGAAUUAUGUAUUGCCCCUCCCCUUUUUAUUAAUAACAUUGAAGUGUGAUGGGACAACCACUGAAGCCGUCUGUUGAAACCUGCUGGGACUUUUUAGCCAUUCUCUUCAACAUAAAGAAUGGGUGUUUUUGGAGGGGGUGAGAGGAAUGGGGAAAUGUUGUCAAAGAGUACAAUGUUUUAGUUGAGACAGGAGGAAUAUAUUUUGUUGAGAUCUACAGCACAGCAUGGUGACUGUAGUUAACAAUGAAGUAUUGUGUAUUUCAAAAUUGCUAAGACAAUAAAUUUCAAAUGUUCUCACCACAAAAAA
Molecule: long non-coding RNA, 735 nt
Filed under: Homo sapiens (human)
Lineage: Eukaryota; Metazoa; Chordata; Mammalia; Primates; Hominidae
Description: HSALNT0352590
Source: RNAcentral